This 274-nucleotide ribosomal RNA is filed under the name uncultured bacterium. Its description in RNAcentral is "partial 16S ribosomal RNA". It matches the Rfam family "Bacterial small subunit ribosomal RNA", at positions 523 to 796 of the family's 1533-position model. The record is from RNAcentral.
AUACGGGGGGUGCAAGCGUUAAUCGGAAUUACUGGGCGUAAAGCGCGCGUAGGCGGUGUGCUCAGUCGGAUGUGAAAGCCCAGGGCUCAACCUGGGAACUGCAUACGAUACUGGCAAACUAGAGUGUGAGAGAGGAUAGUGGAAUUUCCGGUGUAGCGGUGAAAUGCGUAGAUAUCGGAAGGAACAUCAGUGGCGAAGGCGACUGUCUGGCUCAACACUGACGCUGAGGUGCGAAAGCGUGGGUAGCAAACAGGAUUAGAAACCCUAGUAGUCC